CUAAUACCGCAUAAGCCCACGACCCGGCAUCGGGUAGAGGGAAAAGGAGCAAUCCGCUUUGAGAUGGCCUCGCGUCCGAUUAGCUAGUUGGUGGGGUAAUGGCCCACCAAGGCGACGAUCGGUAGCCGGACUGAGAGGUUGAACGGCCACAUUGGGACUGAGACACGGCCCAGACUCCUACGGGAGGCAGCAGUGGGGAAUAUUGCACAAUGGGGGAAACCCUGAUGCAGCGACGCCGCGUGGAGGAAGAAGGUCUUCGGAUUGUAAACUCCUGUUGUUGAGGAAGAUAAUGACGGUACUCAACAAGGAAGUGACGGCUAACUACGUGCCAGCAGCCGCGGUAAAACGUAGGUCACAAGCGUUGUCCGGAAUUACUGGGUGUAAAGGGAGCGCAGGCGGGAAGGCAAGUUGGAAGUGAAAUCCAUGGGCUCAACCCAUGAACUGCUUUCAGAACUGUUUUUCUUGAGUAGUGCAGAGGUAGGCGGAAUUCCCGGUGUAGCGGUGGAAUGCGUAGAUAUCGGGAGGAACACCAGUGGCGAAGGCGGCCUACUGGGCACCAACUGACGCUGAGGCUCGAAAGUGUGGGUAGCAAACAGGAUUAGAUACCCUGGUAGUCCACACUGUAAAC
Molecule: ribosomal RNA, 628 nt
Filed under: uncultured bacterium
Lineage: Bacteria
Description: bacterial SSU rRNA
Rfam family: Bacterial small subunit ribosomal RNA
Source: RNAcentral